GAAAAACACACACAAUACGAACUUCUACUACUAUGUGGAAGACAUUCAAAUGUAUUUUGUCAAAUCCCAACAUGGUACUUUCUUGCUAAAUGGUUGGAAUUUGUUCUGGAAUGUACAGAAAGUCAAUUGACUUUGUUUAAAUCUGUCUCCAACUAAUUUGUUGUUGAUUGGUACAUGACAUAAGUACAGAAGGGCGAUUUCCCCAUACUUGCAUUUUGAUGGACUUGCCUUGUUAAGGCUUACUAUUGUUGCUUCAAGGUGGUUCUUUUAUUAUUAUUUGAAGGAUGCAGUAAAUGAGGUGUUCAUUAGCUGCAGAUGAUUGGAGAUCAUUAUUCCUACUUUCAUUACAAGUAGAUCUGAUGUGUAGGGUUUUUCCGUGUUGCCUUCCUGUGUGCCCUCUCCAACAGCUUGGAAUUCUAUGGACAGACUAAAAUUGCUGAUUGUAUCACUCCUGCUCUGCCGUCCUCACAGCACUUCUCUGUUUGACAGUAAGUAGUUGCCAUGGAAAUAAUUGUGGUGUCACAAAUUCAGUGUUAUGAUUUCAAUAGAGGAUCAUGUAAACUGGAAGAAAUGGUCUGCAAGAGUAACUAAUACAAAUGGCAAAGGAAAAAUUACAAACAUAUCCAAGAGGACAACGUUGUCUGGAUAACCAGAAGUCCCAGUUUGUCUGGACAAGAUCAAGAAUGCUGAAAAUUACCAUUUCAUCUCAGUCAAAAACUAUGAAAAUUUAUUCCUGACACAGAAUUUUUGCUAGGUGAAAGAGGACUUCUUUUGUUGUUACCCUUUGAGAUGGUGAAUGAAUCAUUCACAGAAAACUGAAAUAGACAACAGCUUUGAUUCACAUAUAGCUCAAUACAUUACUGUUUCACCUGCCUGGUGAAACCCAGUGAGGUUCCAACAUUAAGAUGAAUUCUUCCUGCCUGUCCUGAUAUUUGAAUAGAAUAUAGAAUAUUUGGAGUCAAGUUAGAACCAUAAACAUGCAUGAAGGCAUAAAGGCACAAAAUAUAUAGUAUAUACAGUAGACAUACUAUAGAUUACUAGCCAGAAAGUCUAUUAAGGGAUAUUAAAGAAGUCUCUCACUUUUUUUAAUUACCUGUAGAACGGGUGUAUCAAUAUCUUCCUGCCUCAUAGGCACAUUGUGAGGGUAAAUACACUCAUGACUACAAGGUACUCACACUGGUGUCCUGAGAUAACACAGUAACCAGAUAGGAUUUUAGGGUUUCUAAAACUGGUUUCUACUGGUUUUACCAAACUAAGUACUUUCUGGUAAAAUGCCAGUUACUUCAGAGCAGCAAAAUUUGCCACUGAAUUUUAACAGUUUCAAAACAAGUCUUUGAAGGUUUCCUCUAAGCUGUCCACAUUAUCUAAAAGCUAGGGGUUAAACUGCAUUUGAAAUGUGUUCUGGGUGUCCCCAGCAUACUCUGUUCCUCAUGUUUGGGACAGAGCCAGUCUCUCCUGGGUUGUAGAUCUGUUUGAAAUAAUCAACUUUCUCCUUGGGAGCAUUUGCAUGCAAAAAUUAGUUUUCUCAUGCAUGGAGACUGGUUUUCAUUUCUGAGAGAAAUUCAAGGAAAUAAUAAGAAAUGUUUUGAUUUAUGCAAAGCAGUGAUAUUUUUUGGAAUUAAUUUUUAAAUCUAACUACAACUGGCUUACACUGAUAUAAUUUGUUCUAGUCCUUGUUUACACAGAAAAGUUAAACUAGUUUAAGUGACUAAUAUUAGGAUUAUACUCCCAGCACUAAUCUUCGGCAAAGUCAUAAGAGAAUUAAUAGGGGAUACAUAAAGAUUUUUAGAGAGUAGCGCCAUAAUCAAUGUAAAUCAAACUGUUGUGGUUUUGUUGUCGUUCUUUUUUUUGUUUGUUUGUUUCUUUGUUUUUAAGAAAAUGGAUCUUGCCAGACAAACUAGAUAAAAAAAAAAAAAAGCUUUUAAAAAAUAAGUAUUACAAGUAUGGUUGUCAAAGAUAAGUGUUGGUACAAUAGCUGGGCUGUAAUUCAAAACAAGAUUUAGGAGUGCUGUUCAGGAUGGAAAUGACUGAAAGUUAGGGCCUUAGCUCUGUAAAUCAAACAUUCAAGGCAAAUGCAGCUCUGCAUCUCGUGUGGGAAGAGCUAAAUGGUUACCACUAGGAAUCCUAAACUCCACACAUCAAUUCUGGGGAUGUUAAAGAAAAUUCCUUUGAAAAGUAAAUACCUAAAACUUGAAGAGAUGGGAGAGGUGAUAUCUACAGCAGCCUUCUAAGAAUAAAUGUCUUAUGCCUCUCA
RNAcentral lists this long non-coding RNA (2254 nucleotides) under Anas platyrhynchos platyrhynchos (common mallard). RNAcentral describes it as "lncRNA (ENSAPLG00000020087.1)". The record is from RNAcentral. Lineage: Eukaryota; Metazoa; Chordata; Aves; Anseriformes; Anatidae.